RNAcentral lists this long non-coding RNA (513 nucleotides) under Bos taurus (domestic cattle). RNAcentral's name for it is "long non-coding RNA NONBTAT027087". The record is from RNAcentral. Lineage: Eukaryota; Metazoa; Chordata; Mammalia; Artiodactyla; Bovidae.
UGUAUUUGUGAAAACUGGAAGAGUUUUUAAUUUGACAGUUGAGCUGCAGUUCCUGCUAAGUCUUAAUGUAUCAAACAGAAUUAGAGAAAUUGUAUUUAGUUCUUUAUACUGUGAUCAUUUAUGCAGAAUCUGUGGGAGUUAGAUUUAGGUCAAUUAAAAACACAAUGUUCUAAGGGAAAAUAAAGAAGAUAAAUAAUCUAAUUUAGAGGGUUAUUGUUCAAACCAAAUUGCUUUGCAAGUGAUAAUAGUUAACCUGUGAUUGGGGCAUUUCAAUUCUCUGCCUCAAAGGCAGAUUUUAAUAAGAAAAUAAUAAUCCCACAGGUUUUAUACCAGCAGGAUAGGAAAUUGCUAUGUGUUAUAUUAGGAAAUGAAAUAUGCCUUUCCAAUGGUUAUCACCCUAAAACACACUUUAAAAAUUGAUUAAGCAAAACCUGACAGAAGUUGUUUACUCUUACUUUUAUUUUCUUAACUUGAUGUUUUUGCUAGAAUACAUAUAUGUUAGCUAAUCUGUGG